Molecule: long non-coding RNA, 426 nt
Filed under: Mytilus galloprovincialis (Mediterranean mussel)
Lineage: Eukaryota; Metazoa; Mollusca; Bivalvia; Mytilida; Mytilidae
Source: RNAcentral
AAAGUACUGGAUAUAUGUGGUUUCAACUCAAGUCAUUAUAAUGGUCAUAGUUUUAGAAUUGGGGCAGCUACAAGUGCUGGUAAGGCAAAAAUAGAAGAUCACUUGAUAAAAACAUUAGGGCGCUGGACUUCAGAUAGUUACAUCAGAUACAUUAGGGUAACGCCAGCAUCUAUUAAAACAGCUCAAAGUAGGUUAGGUAGAAUUUAAGGGCAUGCUCAUUUUCAAAUAUUCCAUACGCAUGUUUUUUACAGAGAUUCUGGAUGAUAUUGUUUUUGUUUGACAAUUGAUUUUGAUAUUGUGUUAUUAUUAUGUGAUAACUUUUAUUAUUAUUAUUUUUUUUUUUUUUUUUUUCUUUUCAUGGCUUUAUUGAAGGUACCCCCUCCCUUACCUCACAAAUCCUUGGGGACACUCAGCUGUUACCAUCUG